Musca vetustissima is the source of this 80-nucleotide small nucleolar RNA. RefSeq annotates it as small nucleolar RNA psi18S-841/snoR66. The record is from RefSeq and is a predicted model, not a curated record. Lineage: Eukaryota; Metazoa; Arthropoda; Insecta; Diptera; Muscidae. The transcript has a single exon.
AGCAAGGGCACUCUGUGUCACAUUGAUAACUUACAUGUGAAAACAAUUUGUAACCUUGCAACAAUAUAAUAUUUAUAUAU